CUACUGGGGUUUCUAAUCCUGUUUGCUCCCCACGCUUUCGUGCCUCAGUGUCAGUGCUGGUCCAGAUGGCCGCCUUCGCCACGGAUGUUCCUCCCGAUCUCUACGCAUUUCACUGCUACACCGGGAAUUCCGCCAUCCUCUACCGCACUCCAGUGAUCCAGUUUCCAAUGCCAUUCCCAGGUUGAGCCCAGGGCUUUCACAUCAGACUUAAACCACCACCUACGCACGCUUUACGCCCAGUAAUUCCGAGUAACGCUUGCACCCUUCGUAUUACCGCGGCUGCUGGCAC
RNAcentral lists this ribosomal RNA (289 nucleotides) under uncultured Lysobacteraceae bacterium. Its description in RNAcentral is "uncultured Xanthomonadaceae bacterium partial 16S ribosomal RNA". The record is from RNAcentral. Lineage: Bacteria; Pseudomonadati; Pseudomonadota; Gammaproteobacteria; Lysobacterales; Lysobacteraceae.